This 496-nucleotide ribosomal RNA is filed under the name Veillonella parvula. RNAcentral's name for it is "bacterial SSU rRNA". It matches the Rfam family "Bacterial small subunit ribosomal RNA", at positions 28 to 493 of the family's 1533-position model. Lineage: Bacteria; Bacillati; Bacillota; Negativicutes; Veillonellales; Veillonellaceae. The record is from RNAcentral.
GACGAACGCUGGCGGCGUGCUUAACACAUGCAAGUCGAACGAAGAGCGACGGAAGCUUGCUUCUAUCAAUCUUAGUGGCGAACGGGUGAGUAACGCGUAAUCAACCUGCCCUUCAGAGGGGGACAACAGUUGGAAACGACUGCUAAUACCGCAUACGAUCUAAUCUCGGCAUCGAGGAUAGAUGAAAGGUGGCCUCUACAUGUAAGCUAUCACUGAAGGAGGGGAUUGCGUCUGAUUAGCUAGUUGGAGGGGUAACGGCCCACCAAGGCGAUGAUCAGUAGCCGGUCUGAGAGGAUGAACGGCCACAUUGGGACUGAGACACGGCCCAGACUCCUACGGGAGGCAGCAGUGGGGAAUCUUCCGCAAUGGACGAAAGUCUGACGGAGCAACGCCGCGUGAGUGAUGACGGCCUUCGGGUUGUAAAGCUCUGUUAAUCGGGACGAAAGGCCUUCUUGCAAAUAGUGAGAAGGAUUGACGGUACCGGAAUAGAAAGCCA